GAAAACCACUGGAAGUAGCGUUUUGCCCAUGAACGUACAAGGUUGUUGGGGGAGAGCACGCUGCUUUUGUCCGCCUUGUGGGAACCCAAAUUAAAACGAAAGUUCCCGGACAUUACGGUUCAUGGGAAUUAGUGCCUAAACAAUACAAGGAUCAGGUCCUUGGCAUAAUUCAGUACUAUUAUCAAAUAGCGGGCCGCGAGGAUUUCUUAAAGUGUUUAGAUGGUAUCGAUUGAGAGAUGAAAGACCGAUACCGUAAUAGGAAAACACUAAGACACGAACACUUUGAGAAACACUACAAUGGAUCGGAGGAUUGGGAUAAGGUUUUAAACAACCCAACCAAUGAUGUUAACAAGGAGGAGUGGAAGCAGAUCUGUCAGUUAUUUACAAGUCCACAAUUUAUUGCGCGCUCCAUAAAGAAUAAGGAAAAUCGGAAGAAACAAAAGUAUUCUACAACGCAGGGUACAAAAUCGCUGGCAGCCAUCCGUUUUGAAAAAACGAACCCGGACCUCAUUGAGUCAUGGAAGGAUUAUCAUUGGAAGAAAGCAACAAAUGAUUUCGUGAACGAUG
Long non-coding RNA from Humulus lupulus (European hop), 567 nucleotides. RefSeq lists it as uncharacterized. The transcript is spliced from 3 exons. The record is from RefSeq and is a predicted model, not a curated record. Lineage: Eukaryota; Viridiplantae; Streptophyta; Magnoliopsida; Rosales; Cannabaceae.